This 420-nucleotide ribosomal RNA is filed under the name uncultured eukaryote. RNAcentral's name for it is "partial 18S ribosomal RNA". It matches the Rfam family "Eukaryotic small subunit ribosomal RNA", at positions 1470 to 1796 of the family's 1831-position model. The record is from RNAcentral.
CCCUUAGUUAUCCUAGGUCGCACGCGCCAUACAAUGUGGCGCACAACGAGUCUCCUUGGCCGACAGGAUGUCCCGCGAGCGAUCGGCGACGCAGCCAGCUCGGUCUUCGGGCAGACUCGGUGAGAGUGGCCCGUCCUCCUGAGAGGGCGAUCGUCGAUGCCUCGGGAUUCUGGGCAAUCUGGCAGAGCGCUACGUGACUGGGCUAGACUUUUGUAAUUUUUGGUCUUGAACGAGGAAUGCCUAGUAAUCGCAGGUCAGCAUCCUGCGAUGAUUCGGUCCCGGCCCUUUGUACACACCGCCCGUCGCUCCAUCCGUGGCAUGCGCCGGUGAAGAGGGGGAGGCAGCGUCGGCCGUGUAACAGCGGAUCGUACGUGGAACCCCUCUGAACCUUCGCACGUAGAGGAAGGAGAAGUCGUAACA